CGCUUCAGGAGCUUAAGGAGAUUGAGUUUCUAGUAGUGCUUGAGAUUCCACCUCUAUUGUUCUACUCUUUCAUUCUCCUAACAACAUCAGCAGGUCAACUGAAACUGGUUUGUGAACUUUUGGCCAACAUGGAAGGAGCAGUCGGUCCUUCAGCAAAUGGAAGGAGCAGGAAGUGAGCGUCUUUGGCUGAAGCAGCGCGGCGCGGCAACACAAUGGCAUCUCUUGUUCACAGCUGCAUACUGAAUGACCACAACGAGAAUCAACAGGUUUCACCACAAAGUACAAUUCCUCUCAGAGCUCUUCACCCUACCUGUCUGCCUCUAAAAAGUCCUCUGAUUUGCGUCUUACCAGGCAUGUUUAGAUGUUGCUACUCUCUCUAAUACUGCCUGGUAAUGCCGCCAGUCACAAGGAAGUUGAUCAUCAUUCUGACCUCCUUGUUGCUCUCAAUGAAUAUUGGAUUUUUUUUAUCCAUGUUAUAAUUAUAUCUCUUGACCUGCCUAUCCAUAUCUAGAGAAUUAUGUCAUGUUUUUGUCUGCAAAAGCAGUCCUCAUUAUGUCAUUAUUAAACGAUGAUGGUAACAAAUGUUGAUGUAUGUAUGUAUGUAUUUAAAUACAAAUCUUAAUGUCUAUGUUUACAAUAAAAUGUAUUUUUAUCUAAA
Pygocentrus nattereri (red-bellied piranha) is the source of this 658-nucleotide long non-coding RNA. RefSeq lists it as uncharacterized. NCBI's taxonomy places the organism in Eukaryota, Metazoa, Chordata, Actinopteri, Characiformes, Serrasalmidae. The record is from RefSeq and is a predicted model, not a curated record. The transcript has 2 exons.